Molecule: long non-coding RNA, 1305 nt
Organism: Lineus longissimus
Lineage: Eukaryota; Metazoa; Nemertea; Pilidiophora; Heteronemertea; Lineidae
Exons: 6
Source: RefSeq, a predicted model, not a curated record
UAUUAAAAAGCCUUCAAGCUUUUAGUUUUUGAUGCCGUAAUAAGUUGUAUUGUCUAUUGACUUGAUUUCAUCGGCAAAACUGGAGAAAUAUUCAUAGCUGUCUCUAUUAACAGUGGAGUUCUGAUUGGUUCUCGCCAUCUUGCGGAGGGAUCGGGUACCAAUCUAAUGUUUCACUGACUGCCAGCCUUUGUUUGCGAGCAGCCAUUACUACUGCGGCAUCGAGUUUUUGUCUUGUCAAAACUGGUUCAACAAUAUCAUCUGUACUACAGUCCAUUUCAUCCAGUGAGUUUAUCCUCUUUCAAAUUGAUUAUUUUCAUCAGCAUCAAGUGCAAUCAUGCCAAGGAAGAGUGUUAAACUUUCGACAACUGCAGAGUCACACAGCAAACCAGACGAUGAAGAGGUUUUAGACUUGCCACACAAGAUGGCUGAGAGAAAUGAUGAACCAAAGGCAAGCAGCAGCCAAGCGCCUCCUCAGCCAUCAACAUCGUCAAAACCUCAGACUAGCGUGUGUUUUGUCGUAACCGAGACCUGAAAACUGAUACUCAAGAUGAAAGGCCGGCGAAGGUGGAUUUAGUAACUCCCAAAGAUGGCUUGCACCCAACACAUCGUGGUAAUCAAGAAUUGACACAACUUGUCAAGAAAGCUCUCAAGCUACCAGGAGCACGCCUUUCGAAAACUAAAGACAUAACUGUCAAUUACCAAUCAGUGAAAUGUCAGCUUUGCAAUGCAAACGGUCAUAUUAACGGAAAUUGUGGAUCAUACUGGUACUUGUAGGUUGUGAUACCUUAAGAUUUGACUGACAAUCAUAGACGUUACACUGAAGAAACCUGUAUGAACAAUGAAUACAAAAACAAUCAACUUAUUUACACCAUGUACUUUUAAAUCUAUCAUUGAAAGAGUUUACAUGUAACAUCAAUACUGUAAACCGGGAAAUUUUUGCGGCUGGUUUAUUUCGCGGAUGAGGUCCGUUUUUGCAAGAAAAAUAUAUUUUACGCUUAAAAUUAAUGCGGAUUCAUCGGUGCCGCAAAGGGACAUUGAGAGACAAAUAUAUAUUUUAUGCGUAUUGAUUUUGCGGACAAGGGCGCACCGCAAAGACCGCAAAAUUAAAACGCCCGCAAAAAUUUCCCGGUUUACAGUAUUCAUAAAUGAUUCAUGGUAAUAAAAUUACUUUAAAGCUAUAUCUAUGACUUACAUAUUCUUUGCACGUUUUAUUCGUUUACUGCCAAUAACCGCUUCCUAAAUAUCCAAGAUUAAUAAUAAGUUUGAUCUACAAUGCCUCACAUUAACCUGAAGUUCCUCAUCGUC